Molecule: ribosomal RNA, 395 nt
Filed under: uncultured bacterium
Lineage: Bacteria
Description: bacterial SSU rRNA
Rfam family: Bacterial small subunit ribosomal RNA
Source: RNAcentral
GUGCCAGCCGCCGCGGUAACACGUAGGAGCCAAGCGUUAUCCGAAUUCACUGGGCGUAAAGCGCGUGUAGGCGGUCUUACAAGUUGGGUGUGAAAGCUCCUGGCUCAACUAGGAGAGGACGUUCAAUACUGUGAGACUAGAGGACGGCAGAGGAAGGUGGAAUUCCCGGUGUAGUGGUGAAAUGCGUAGAUAUCGGGAGGAACACCAGAGGCGAAGGCGGCCUUCUGGGCCGAUCCUGACGCUCAGACGCGAAAGCUAGGGGAGCGAACGGGAUUAGAAACCCCGGUAGUCCUAGCCGUAAACGAUGUAGACUUGGCGCUGGUGGUGUAAAAGCCAUCAGUGCCGAAGCCAACGCGAUAAGUCUACCGCCUGGGGACUACGGCCGCAAGGUUAAA